Molecule: long non-coding RNA, 1513 nt
Filed under: Homo sapiens (human)
Lineage: Eukaryota; Metazoa; Chordata; Mammalia; Primates; Hominidae
Description: HSALNT0058161
Source: RNAcentral
ACUUGAACUUUAUCUUGGUUGAGGCUCAACUCUAAUGAAGACAGGCAUGGAUGAUUCUGGUUUGAAAAGGUCACAGUUGUACCAAAGUCUAUAUAAAUAACUUUGUCCUAUUAUGUCUCUACCACACAGCUUCUCUUGAGUUUUUCUGGGGGAAUAUACCAGGAGACCAUAAUCAAGCAUCACCAGUGGCAUUUCAUACUGGUCCCAUGGUGUUAAUCCAGGUUUCUGGUAUUGCACUAAACACGAUGAAAAACAGGAGAGAACGGAGAGGGAUCAUGUUUUACCACAAUAUGCAAUUUAUGGGAGAGAUGAAGCGCUCAGGUGGAGAUGACUAGUGUCACGUGGUGUUUUAAGUGGAUACUCACAACGCUGGAACUCACAGCAAUAACAACAAGAGAUCCUCUAUAGACUGUUGAUGUAUAGCCAUGAGAAAAAAAAAAGAAAAAUUUUUGCUCUCAAUGAGCUUGCAUUUAAGCAUCUAUAAAAGCACCUUUAAGAAACAAAACAAAACAGAAUGACAUAAAAAGUUGGUGACAUAGGAAGAUUAAUAUAGAGUAAAAAUAAAUUGGAAGUAUGGCAGUGGGGCAGGCUAGUGCAAUAACUGAUGAAGUCAAGAUAAAAAAUAUAACUUCUUUAGCCAUAAGCUUUCAUACAAAGAUCCUUUAUUGGGGAAAAUUUAUCCCUCAUAAUGUGUUCCCUUUAAAUACUGAUCUGUUUUUCUCCUUUAAGACCCAGAGUGCAGGAGGGAUAACUGAUAUCAAAAUUCCAAGGAAAGGAUGAAAAAAGUAGGAAGAAAACCCCAAGAGUCAGGUGAGAUUAAUAUUUACUCAGUGAACUUUGAGUAAAGCAUUGGGUGCUUCAUUAUGUGGAGGAGUCUCAUCCAAUCAGUUGAAGGUGACUGAAUGGAACUAUAGAUCGACCUCACAUAAAUGAGAGGGAAUUCUGCAACAGAUCAUCUUUGCCUUUGAACUGCAGCAUGGACUCCCCUCUGGGUCUCCUGCCUGCCAGCCCACCCUGCAGAGUGCAUUUGCCAGCCUCCACAAUCAGGUAAUUUAUCCUGUGCAUUAACAAGAGGAAGUCUAGAGCCAUGGAAACCAAGUCAGGAAACUUCUCUCUUAUUAUUAGGUCCACUGCAAAUCUAGUUGAGACUGCAAAUCGAGCUAAUGAUAUCUUAAGUUAGAACAUCAUGCCAAGAGAAGUAUGUUUUCAACCAAGAAAGCAAAAUCAACAUGAUCCUAAAUGAACUGCUUCUGCAUGUCAACAGUCUUGAUAUACCUGAGAGAGUGAGAUACAGAGUAUGUUGUUAAACUUUUUAUAAUUACAAAUAUUGCUUGUAUUUCUUUUGAAAUUUGCCACACGCUGAUAUUAAAAAUAAUAGAUAGAAAAUCAAGAGAGAAACUUGUAGCUUUAAUUUAUUUUGUUGUUUGGAUAAUUAAGAUUGUAGGAUAGACAGACUAAUAAUUCUCUACUUUUAAAGGAAAAGUAUUUCUCUUUGAGUCUCCUUCACUUUGUA